UUUCCGUAGGUGAACCUGCGGAAGGAUCAUUCAUCAUAAGUGCUUAAAAGCACUUUUGUACAUGUAUAUACACCAUGUGUGCUAUGUGAGGGGUUCUUUUUCUCUCUAGAGGAUCAGCCCCGAACAUGAACUAUCUCUCAACUCUGCUUAUCAAAAACCUUAUGAAUAAAACAAUUUAUAAUACAACUUCCUACAACGGACCUCUUGUUUCUCGCAUCGAUGUAGAUUGCAGCAGAUCGUAAUUCAUCACGAAUCACCUCCAGUAACGCAUACUUAAAC
Molecule: unclassified non-coding RNA, 279 nt
Filed under: plant metagenome
Description: partial contains small subunit ribosomal RNA, internal transcribed spacer 1, and 5.8S ribosomal RNA
Source: RNAcentral